This 473-nucleotide ribosomal RNA is filed under the name uncultured bacterium. RNAcentral's name for it is "bacterial SSU rRNA". It matches the Rfam family "Bacterial small subunit ribosomal RNA", at positions 355 to 825 of the family's 1533-position model. The record is from RNAcentral.
UGGGGAAUUGUUCACAAUGGGCGCAAGCCUGAUGACGCAACGCCGCGUGGGGGAUGAAGGUCUUCGGAUUGUAAACCCCUGUCGAAUGGGACGAAAGGCUCGCGAGUUAAUACUUCGCGGGAGUGACGGUACCGUUAAAGGAAGCCACGGCUAACUCUGUGCCAGCAGCCGCGGUAAUACAGAGGUGGCAAGCGUUGUUCGGAAUUACUGGGCGUAAAGGGCGCGUAGGCGGCCUACUAAGUCAGACGUGAAAUCCCCCGGCUUAACCUGGGAACUGCGUCUGAUACUGGAAGGCUUGAGUAUGGGAGAGGGAUGUAGAAUUCCAGGUGUAGCGGUGAAAUGCGUAGAUAUCUGGAGGAAUACCGGUGGCGAAGGCGGCAUCCUGGACCAUUACUGACGCUGAGGCGCGAAAGCUAGGGGAGCAAACGGGAUUAGAUACCCCUGUAGUCCCUGAGCGGGCUGGCAAGGCGCAU